GGUGAUAAGGGUCAUCUCUAUGAAUAGCUUUCUUCCUGGAACUGACUGGACUUCACAACCAAUUUUGGGCUAGUGUGGAGAGAUCAGCUGUGAGAAACAUCCAUUGAUUUGCUCAGGCUGCCCUUUGUAUCUUAAUGCUUCAGGUUUUGUUAUCCUGCGCCUUUCUUCUGUCUUCUUUCCUCAUAAGUUUUUUAGAUACAAUUUUAUUGCCAAUAAUUAAAGAGUGAGAAUGAGCGGCAAUGGGCUGGUAUGGUUGCAUUCAAACUCCAAAGUUCACAUUUUGGAAUAUUGAUUUUUGCUUGAGAACAACUUACCUAAAAACCAUGGGAAUUUGGCAGGGAGGGAUGUGAUGGGGCAUAUGUUGAGUUCUUUCAAGGAAUUUAACUUUCAUUUCUGAAGAAGUAAAAACUGUGGCAUGGU
Molecule: long non-coding RNA, 420 nt
Organism: Homo sapiens (human)
Lineage: Eukaryota; Metazoa; Chordata; Mammalia; Primates; Hominidae
Gene: LNCHR1
Product: lncRNA induced by HCV, regulator of SREBF1
Source: Ensembl